GACGAACGCUGGCGGCGUGCUUAACACAUGCAAGUCGAGCGAUGAAGCACCUUCGGGUGUGAAUUAGCGGCGAACGGGUGAGGAACACGUGAGAAAUCUGCCUUCAACUCUGGGAUAACUCCGUGAAAACGGGGCUAAUACCGGAUAUGAAACCUGCGGGCAUCCGCGGGUUUGGAAAGUUUUUCGGUUGAAGAUGAUCUCGCGGCCUAUCAGCUUGUUGGUGAGGUAAUGGCCCACCAAGGCGACGACGGGUAGCCGGCCUGAGAGGGCGACCGGCCACACUGGGACUGGGACACGGCCCAGACUCCUACGGGAGGCAGCAGUGGGGAAUAUUGGGCAAUGGAGGAAACUCUGACCCAGCGACGCCGCGUGCGGGAUGAAGGCCUUCGGGUUGUAAACCGCUUUCAGCAGGGAAGAAGCGAAAGUGACGGUACCUGCAGAAGAAGCACCGGCUAACUAUGUGCCAGCCGCCGCCGUAA
Molecule: ribosomal RNA, 479 nt
Filed under: uncultured bacterium
Lineage: Bacteria
Description: partial 16S ribosomal RNA
Rfam family: Bacterial small subunit ribosomal RNA
Source: RNAcentral